RNAcentral lists this ribosomal RNA (476 nucleotides) under uncultured organism. Its description in RNAcentral is "partial 16S ribosomal RNA". It matches the Rfam family "Bacterial small subunit ribosomal RNA", at positions 333 to 800 of the family's 1533-position model. The record is from RNAcentral.
ACACUCCUACGGGAGGCAGCAGUGGGGAAUUUUGGACAAUGGGCGAAAGCCUGAUCCAGCAAUGCCGCGUGCAGGAUGAAGGCCUUCGGGUUGUAAACUGCUUUUGUACGGAACGAAAAAGCUUCUCCUAAUACGAGAGGCCCAUGACGGUACCGUAAGAAUAAGCACCGGCUAACUACGUGCCAGCAGCCGCGGUAAUACGUAGGGUGCGAGCGUUAAUCGGAAUUACUGGGCGUAAAGCGUGCGCAGGCGGUUAUGUAAGACAGAUGUGAAAUCCCCGGGCUCAACCUGGGAACUGCAUUUGUGACUGCAUGGCUAGAGUACGGUAGAGGGGGAUGGAAUUCCGCGUGUAGCAGUGAAAUGCGUAGAUAUGCGGAGGAACACCGAUGGCGAAGGCAAUCCCCUGGACCUGUACUGACGCUCAUGCACGAAAGCGUGGGGAGCAAACAGGAUUAGAAACCCUAGUAGUCCCAUGA